Molecule: ribosomal RNA, 393 nt
Filed under: uncultured bacterium
Lineage: Bacteria
Description: partial 16S ribosomal RNA
Rfam family: Bacterial small subunit ribosomal RNA
Source: RNAcentral
AUACGGAAGGGCCGGGCGUUAUCCGGAUUUAUUGGGCUUAAAGGGAGCGCAGACGGUCUGUUAAGCGUGCAGUGAAAUGUGGGGGCUCCACAUCGGCACUGCUUCGUGAACUGGCGGGCUUGAGUUGUGUGGAGGUGCGCGGAAUUCCUGGUGUAGCGGUGUAAUGCUUAGAUAUCACGAGGAACCCCGAUUGCGAAGGCGGCGCACCGUUAGCACACUGACGUUGAGGCUCGAAGGUGCGGGUAUCGAACAGGAUUAGAUACCCUGGUAGUCCGCACGGUAAACGAUGGAUGCCCGCUGUCGGCGAUACACUGCCGGCGGCCAAGCGAAAGCGUUAAGCAUCCCACCUGGGGAGUACGCCGGCAACGGUGAAACUCAAAGGAAUUGACGGGG